RNAcentral lists this ribosomal RNA (1518 nucleotides) under Triticum aestivum (bread wheat). RNAcentral's name for it is "partial small subunit ribosomal RNA". Lineage: Eukaryota; Viridiplantae; Streptophyta; Magnoliopsida; Poales; Poaceae. The record is from RNAcentral.
AUGCUUGCAAGACAAGCAUGGAGGUUUCUCCACAACCCAAAUGCCCUUUGUGCCCGAGUAUUAUCUGCGAAAUACUACCCAGAUGGGCAAAUCUUAAAUGCAAAGCUUGCAAGGGGAAUGUCAUAUACAUGGAGGAGCAUAUUAAAAGGGAUAAAUUUGCUAAAUAAAGGCAUAAUAUGGAGAGUGGGGAAUGGCAAAUCUAUUAACAUAUGGAACGACCCAUGGAUCCCAAGAGGAAUAUCAAGAAGGAUCAUAUCAAGGAAGGGCAACAAUCUAAUCACGCACGUCGAGGAGCUCAUAAAUCCAGUAACUAACACUUGGGACCUAGACCUACUAAACCAAUCAAUGGUAGGCGAAGAUGUACAGGUUAUACUCAGGAUCCCAAUUCAUGAGCAGCUAGAUGACUUCCCAGCAUGGCACUAUGAUAAAAAAGGACUUUUUUCAGUCAAAUCUGCAUACAAAGUAGCACGGGAUUGUGAAGCACAUGAAUCUGUGAAAGGGCUACCUGAAUGCUCCAAUCCAGUGGGAAACACAUGUGGUUUUGAAUGGAAGAAACUAUGGUCACUCCCUCUGCCUAACAAGAUUCUGCAUUUCCUAUGGAGAGUGGCCACCAACAGUUUACCAUUGCGAAUGAAGCUGAAACAAAGAGGUAUGAAUAUUGAUACCAGGUGCCCACUUUGUUUUAGAUUAAAUGAAGAUGGAGGCCACAUUUUUUGCAAAUGCAAAUUAGUUAAACCAAUCUGGAGAGGACUUCAAAUGGAGGACACAAGAGAGUUAAUUGCUGGAUGCCCAAGCGGCCCAUCUCUCCUACAUGAAAUAUUCAAUCUAAACAAAGAAAAGAGGCUCACAGCUUGUUGUUUGCUCUGGAUCUGGUGGGCGGAAAGGAAUAAAGCAAACCGAGGAGAGAAACCAAAAACAUCAGAUGAGAUAAUUACCUCUGUCACAGUUCAUGUUUUGGAAUACAAGAACAUGCAGGUAAAGAAACUAAUACCAAGUAAUAAGAUGCAGCUGCAAUGGUCUCGACCGAUGCAUAAUUUUUUAAAGAUCAACGUAGAUGGGGCUUUUAGGGAACAAUCCUUUUCAGGUGGUUGGGGCUUUAUAGUCAGGAAUGAUCGAGGAGUAGCAGUGGCAGCUGGACAAGGUCAUCUUCAAGAAGUCGGCAAUGCUCUUCAAGCUGAAGCUCGAGCUCUUCUCCAAGCGGUGCAAAUCACCUCAUCAAUGGGGUGUAAUCAGGUGAUUCUAGAAAUAGAUUCGACUGUACUGAAGAAUGCUAUUACAUCAAGCGAGUAUGAUCUAGCGCCGCCAGGUGUUCUAUUUAGAGAAAUAAAAGCCAUGUUAUGUGUUAGAUUUGAAAACUUUAGAAUAUCUGUUGUACCAAGAUCAUGUAAUGUUGUAGCUCAUGAACUAGCUGCGCGUGGUGCUCUGUUAGGGGAUGACGAUCGUGAGGUCUGCAUUGGCCAUCUACCACAAUUUGUACUAAACCUGUGUGCUGGUGAUAUGCCGAGCACACCAGUUUAA